RNAcentral lists this ribosomal RNA (253 nucleotides) under uncultured bacterium. Its description in RNAcentral is "partial 16S ribosomal RNA". It matches the Rfam family "Bacterial small subunit ribosomal RNA", at positions 524 to 776 of the family's 1533-position model. The record is from RNAcentral.
GACGAACCGUGCGAACGUUGUUCGGAAUCACUGGGCUUAAAGGGCGCGUAGGCCGGUCGCCGAGUCAGGGGUGAAAUCCUCCAGCUUAACUGGAGAACUGCCUCUGAUACUGGCGAUCUCGAGGGAGGUAGGGGCGUGUGGAACUCUAGGUGGAGCGGUGAAAUGCGUUGAUAUCUAGAGGAACUCCGAUGGCGAAGGCGACACGCUGGACCUUUUCUGACGCUGAGGCGCGAAAGCCAGGGGAGCGAACGGG